GCUGUGAUCCUCCCAGGCUGCUUUCUUAGUCCUCUUCAACCUUGGGUUGUCCAAAAUGGGGAGCUGCUGCCAGAGAAGCUGCCCACCUGCUGGUGGAGCUCAGAGCCUGAGGACUGCCCAGCCCAAUGAGUGUCUCAGAGGAUGCCCAGACCCUGGAAUUCAAGAGCCUGGUGGGAGCAAUUUUCAGAGUGAGGCAUGGGUCACAUCAAUACAUGCAGUGGCCUGUUCACCAACUAUCUGUAAGUCUACAAUAACUCUGAGCAUUUGCAGGUUAUACUGGUGCUAUUAAAUUGUCUCAGGAGAGAUGGGACAGUCAUCCCUCUACAGAGUGGCAGAGCAAGGGUGGGGGUAGCUGGAAUGGUACCUUGGCUCAAAUCCCAACUCAGGUCACCCCAACAAGUGGGUACAUAAGGACCUGGUGUCAUUUUCUACCUGAGACAGACACUUCAUGAAGCCAGAACGCAUCAGGCUGAGGGGAUGAAUGCAUCAGGCUGAGGGGAUGAACGUAUCAGAUCGAUGGAUCCAGGCCAAUUAAAAGAUGUACCUGUGACAGGAAAUGGAACGCCAGAGUGGCAAAGGGGAGAAAGCAUUUGUAUUAAUUGGAUAGGCUUCAAGACUUUGUGGCCAUAGGACAAAUUGUUCUUCUUUAGGACAGGACCCCAGGAGGCAGGAUGCCCCACCACGGGUGUUCAGGCCCAGCUGAGGAGGCACACUGUGGGGCUGGCCUGGCCAUAGAUUGCUUGUGUGACCUGGGACUCCGGGGCAUUCUGGAGUGCUGAGUGAGAUGAUACCUGGCCCAUGGUAAGAGCUCAAGAAACGUGAUCAGUAACCAUGAUGGUGAUGGACAUGACAGGACUGGCAUUUUUGGAGGACACUCAGAUUUCUUUAGUUCCACUGUGUCUCUCCAUCCAACCCCAGCCACUGUCUUCUUGUUCUUUCUCUUCCCUUUCCUGCAGAGAGAGAAAAUCUGAGGAGGACCGUGCGGAAGAAGGGACUACACAGGACCAUAUCCUGGACCCCUUGGGCCUCCGUGGUGAGGGGGCCCGGCACAGGAGAACUGUUGGAAGUGAACAGGUGUUAUCACAGUGCUUUCGAGCUCGGGAGGCCCAGGGACUCAGAAGCCUAUCACUGGGAUCUGAGAGACCCGAUGACCCACAAGGGAAUUUUACAAUGAGGUAUGCUGAGAUGCUCUACCCAAAAUCCAGUUGACAAGUCACACAGCGAUGUGAAUGUAUUUAAUGCCUCUCAACUGUAUACUUAAAAAUGGUUAAAAUGGCAAAUUUGAUUUUAUGUAUAUUUACCACAAUGAAACAUUACAGCUGACAGAGAAAUAUAAUGGAAAUAAUUUUGUCCAAAACAAUUGGAACUCCUACUAUGUGCUAGGUGAUGGGUUAGGGCAUGGGGAAGUGGGUGAGGCCUGGUAUAGGAAAUGAGUAAGAUCUGCUUCCUGUGGUCCAGGAGCUCCCAGCCUUGCCAAGGAGACAAACACAUAAUCUGUUAAUUGAGCUACAUAAUUCAGGGUGACCUACAUUGUAAUAGACACGUGUACAGCCUGAUUUGAGUCAGGUUGAAGGGCUUUGAAUGCUACACUAAGGCAUUUGCAUUUUAUCCUAUGGUAAUUGGGAUUCACGAAUGAUUUUAACGCUAGGGUAUGAUGUGAAUAGAUUCAUUGCAAUUCCUUAUGUCAUAUCACCAAACAUCUACUUUGUGUGCAGUGUGUAAAUGGAUCAGUGGUUGUGAUAGGUUUUUUUUUUUUUAUUUUAAAAAUAUUUUUAGAUUUUAUC
Molecule: long non-coding RNA, 1784 nt
Filed under: Vulpes vulpes (red fox)
Lineage: Eukaryota; Metazoa; Chordata; Mammalia; Carnivora; Canidae
Description: lncRNA (ENSVVUG00000028826.1)
Source: RNAcentral